CCUGCCCAGGCCAGCAUCAGUUCGCCCCGGGGGAUAAAGGUUUCGGGAAUGUGGCUCCUCCGGGAGUGUUAUAGCCCGUUGCGUAAUACCCUGGGACGGACUGAGGUUCGCGCUCUGCAAGGAUGCUGGCGUAAUGGUCAUCAACGA
This 147-nucleotide ribosomal RNA is filed under the name Clonostachys rosea. Its description in RNAcentral is "partial large subunit ribosomal RNA". Lineage: Eukaryota; Fungi; Ascomycota; Sordariomycetes; Hypocreales; Bionectriaceae. The record is from RNAcentral.